RNAcentral lists this long non-coding RNA (2767 nucleotides) under Homo sapiens (human). RNAcentral describes it as "non-protein coding lnc-MTX3-5:1". The record is from RNAcentral. Lineage: Eukaryota; Metazoa; Chordata; Mammalia; Primates; Hominidae.
GGGUGACGAAAUAAUCUAUAUGACAAACCCCUGUGGCAAUUUUCCCCUUACAACAAACCUGCACAUACACCCCUAAACCUAAAAUAAAAGUUAAAAAUAAAUGAAUAAAUAAAUAAAUAACCUUAAAGCCAUUCUCCCAGUGAAUGCUGAGCCCCAUAGCCUUCCUCUUUAGCCAAGAGCAGUUCUUGUAUUCUGUCCCCAAAAGCUUUUUGAUCAUUGGCAGGUAAGAGCUUUUUGCCCUGUCAUAGACUGUAGUAUGUGAUGACCUUGUAGAAUCCAGAAUACAUCCCCUAUGAAAUCUGGUUUACCACUUACUCCCCUCCCCAAUUAAGCUAUGUGGUUUUAUCAACAACUAUGGUAAUUUUUUUUCUGAUCUUGUGAUUUAAGAACUAAUGUUACAAACCUCAGGGAGACUAGUUAGUGUGUUUUAAGUGUAGCCAUAGGCUUGAUAAAGUAUUGGUAGAUAACUUGGCAGAACCUGAUGUCUUUGAAGUAGCAAUGUUCAGUUCAGCGUGUAACUCUCUCCCCCUUAAUAUCUUUUUAGUUUUAUCUGAGAAACAUACUACAUUUUUUUCUCUUUUCUUUCCUUUAAAGGUGGAUGCUCAAGUUUGAGGACUGUCAUGGGGACUAUCAGGUUUUUUAGGCAUGUGCUUUCUUUUUCUUCAAAUUAAAACCUGUUGUCUGUCUCUUGUCACUUUUCAGGACAGCCACACUCGGGGCUCUUACAAUCAGGGGUCAUAAGCUGCUAUGUCACCUACCUCACCUUCUCAGCUCUGUCCAGCAAACCUGCAGAAGUAGUUCUAGAUGAACAUGGGAAAAAUGUUACAAUCUGUGUGCCUGACUUUGGUCAAGACCUGUACAGAGAUGAAAACUUGGUGACUAUACUGGGGACCAGCCUCUUAAUCGGAUGUAUCUUGUAUUCAUGGUAAGUCUUGGGAGUUACUCAAGGUCACUUUUGCAGACUUUAAAAUUACAGGAAAAGAAUUGAAAUAACUUUCAGUAGCUGUGAGGCUGCAACCAUUUGAGGAGGGGGGAAAAUAACCACAAGUAAAAAGGCGAAGAGCGUGAACUCAUAUUUGAACUUCGUUCACCUUACUUGUUUUUAUUUGGGGUAAAUAAAGCAAAUAUAUGGUAUGUAAAUAUUUGAACUUCGUUUACCUUACUUGUUUUUAUUUGGGGUAAAUAAAGCAAAUAUAUGGCAUGUUGCAGCACCGUUGCCUAACCCCCUUUAAAAGAUGGUCGAAUAGUAGUUUGCUAUACCUUUACUGGAGGGCAGGGGAGCACAAAGUGAAGAAGAGAUAGAAUGUGCCAGCAUGUCCUGGCAGCUUUCUGAUCCAAAGGAAAUAGCUUUCUUCUGCUGUUGAUGGAAAGAGUACAGAGUGCUGUGUGCGUGGUCAUUCUGUGCAGACAAGAAAUGUUCAUUCUCUUUUCUGCUAAACCCACAAUGCUGUUGUUCACUCGGCAAAGCAGCUCCUCCAAAAGUAGAUGUGAUAUAUGAGUGGGCUGUGUUUCAGAUGCUUGUGGUGGGGGUUAUUCCACCUUUAAAAGGUUUAAAAGGUUGCUAGAGGGAGAAAAGUCAAGGAUAGAAAUGGCUAGUUAAUCUGGAUAUAUAUUUCGCUGAUAACUAAGCUUCCCUUUAACAGUAACCUUUUCACAUUUAGCCUUUACUUCUGUGUUUACAUUUUGUUAAUGUUCAGUAUAAAAAUUCAAUUCCAUUGAAUUCAGCCAUAGGCACAUUGUAAACUUCCUUUUUGCUGAAACGAAAUACUCCUGGUGGUGAUAGCUUGUAUAAAUAUAAUGUCUUUCUGAGCAUGUUGGCAUUUUCUCUUACCUCCUUUAACAACUUCUACUAUUAGAAAGGGACCAACGGGGACACAGACCUUUUAGAGUCUAUUUGCUCAGGGUCACACAUCAAGCAAUAAAAUGCUUGUUGUUUUACAGGUAGGUGUUAAGAUGAUGGUGACAUACAUUCAUUCUUGGCCUGUGUGACAUAGUGACAGAGUCUCCUUGUUGUUGCAGAAUGGACUGUGGUAACUUCUUUCUGGCCUUUCAAUUUUAUUAAUUCCUAAGUUGUUCGCAGAGUACCUACAAUAUAGGAAGCAGGCUGCGUGGUGCAGUGGCUCACGCCUAUAAUCCCAGCACUUUGGGAGGCUGAGGCAGGAGGAUCACUUGAACCCAGGAAUUUGAGACCAGCCUAGACAACAUAGCAGACCCUGUUUCUACGAAAAAAAAAAAAAAUCAGGCGUGAUGGCACGUGCCUGUGGUCCCAGCUACUUGGGAGGCUGAGAUGGGAGGAUCACUUGAACCCAGGUGUCUAAGGCUGCAGUGAGCUAGGGGUGUCUCCACUCCAGCCUAAGCAACCGAGUGAGACCCUGUCUUUUGAAAAACCAACCAUGAAGAUAUUUGAUAGAAUAAAAUCAUGUUUUUGUGGGUUACUGGGUACCCAAUGAAAAAAAAUAUUUGCCCUUGGCCAGGCGCGGUGGCUCACGCUUGUAAUCCCAGCACUUUGGGAGGCAAAGGUGGGUGGAUCACCUGAGGUUAGGAGUUUGAGACCAGCCUGGCCAACAUGGUGAAACCCCAUAUCUACUAAAAAUACAAAAAUUAGCGGGGUGUGGUGGUAUGCACCUGUAAUCCCACCUACUCCGGAGGCUGAGGCUGGAGAAUUGCUUGAACCCAGGAGGGGGAGGUUGCAGUGAGCUGAGAUCACGCCAUUGCACUCCAGCCUGGGUAACGAGAGAAACUGUAUUUCAAAAAAAAAAAAAAAAAA